GAUCAUGGCUCAGGACGAACGCUGGCGGCGCGCCUAACACAUGCAAGUCGAACGAGAGAGAAGGAGCUUGCUUCUUCGAUCGAGUGGCGAACGGGUGAGUAACGCGUGAGGAACCUGCCUCAAAGAGGGGGACAACAGCUGGAAACGGCUGCUAAUACCGCAUGACGCAUUCGGAUGGCAUCAUCUGAAUGCCAAAGAUUUAUCGCUGAAAGAUGGCCUCGCG
This 223-nucleotide ribosomal RNA is filed under the name uncultured bacterium. RNAcentral's name for it is "partial 16S ribosomal RNA". It matches the Rfam family "Bacterial small subunit ribosomal RNA", at positions 15 to 235 of the family's 1533-position model. The record is from RNAcentral.